This 158-nucleotide ribosomal RNA is filed under the name Rinodina bischoffii. RNAcentral describes it as "5.8S ribosomal RNA". It matches the Rfam family "5.8S ribosomal RNA". Rfam says of the family: 5.8S ribosomal RNA (5.8S rRNA) is a component of the large subunit of the eukaryotic ribosome. Lineage: Eukaryota; Fungi; Ascomycota; Lecanoromycetes; Caliciales; Physciaceae. The record is from RNAcentral.
AAAACUUUCAACAACGGAUCUCUUGGUUCCCGCAUCGAUGAAGAACGCAGCGAAUGCGAAAAGUAAUGUGAAUUGCAGAAUUCCGUGAAUCAUCGAAUCUUUGAACGCACAUUGCGCCCUUUGGUAUUCCGAAGGGCAUGCCUGUCCGAGCGUCAUUG